Molecule: unclassified non-coding RNA, 102 nt
Organism: Nomascus leucogenys (northern white-cheeked gibbon)
Lineage: Eukaryota; Metazoa; Chordata; Mammalia; Primates; Hylobatidae
Rfam family: Y RNA
About the family: Y RNAs are components of the Ro ribonucleoprotein particle (Ro RNP), in association with Ro60 and La proteins. The Y RNAs and Ro60 and La proteins are well conserved, but the function of the Ro RNP is not known. In humans the RNA component can be one of four small RNAs -- hY1, hY3, hY4 and hY5.
Source: Ensembl
GGCUGGCUCGAGUGCAGUGGUGUUUACAACUAAUUGAUCACAACCAGUUACAGAUUUCUUUGUUCCUUCUCCACUCCCACUGCUUCACUUGACUAGUCUUUA